GCCUUCACUUGACAUUCUUCUAGUGGUUGCUCUCUAAACAGUGUAGCCCUGAUGUUUUGGUCUAUCAUAGAUUAAUAUCCUUCUUGAAAUAUUGAAGAAUCUCAGAACAGAUGUCGCCACCAGGUUUUCUCCACAGGGAUCAGGACCUCCGCAGAAGAGGAGGCAGAAAGAUUUUAACUCAUUGGGGAUAGAGAACACCAAAGAAACAACGCAUUCCAGACACAGGACUGAUAUUUAAGCCAGAUGGGGUCCCAGGCCUGAGACAUGACACCAUGCCUAAGCCAGAAGCUAUCUCCAAAUGAUUACUACCUACAAAGCAAAAACUAGUUUUCUACAAAAGACUCGCUGGAUAUACUAGUUACACUCAUGGAUAAGUCCCAUGCCCAGCAGAAUUAUGCAUGGAGUUAGAUGGAAGCAGAAACUGGAUGAAGAUUCAAUCUGCCAAAGAGAAGACAGACUAUCCUGCAACAUUAAAUGAACAUGAAGAGGACAAGACACUUUGCCUCACAACUACAGGAACACAAAUGUAGUUCUGGAAGAAUGUUUUUACCAGCUAGGCUAGCUGGGGACGCAUGUGUACACACACACACACACACACACACACAAAAUGGUGAGAAGAGAUUUAAAUAGCUUAACAAUUCUGAAAAACUGCUAAGAAUAUGUAUGGAAUAGAAGGAAAAGAGGACAAAGAGAAGGAAAAUAAAGAUGGCAACGAAGGGUCUCUUUGCAGCAGUCCAGCAUAUGUUGGACUAGUUUACACACAGACAAAGAACAUUUGUUACCUAAUGAGCUAUGUAUACAAGUUGCUUGAAUCAGAUGAAUGUAUUCCAAAGUAACUAUCCGUCUCUAAUUCUGCAUUGUACUUUGCUGGCUUCCACAACACUGUUCAUGUAUAAAUUACCCACUCCCUUUUAGCACAUUUGGCAAGCACUAAGUAUUUGUUUGAAGGAACAAAUGAAGGCAUAAAUUCUAAAGUAUACU
Long non-coding RNA from Mastomys coucha (southern multimammate mouse), 981 nucleotides. RefSeq lists it as uncharacterized. NCBI's taxonomy places the organism in Eukaryota, Metazoa, Chordata, Mammalia, Rodentia, Muridae. The record is from RefSeq and is a predicted model, not a curated record. The transcript is spliced from 4 exons.